AGAGUUGAUCAUGGCUCAGGACGAACGCUGGCGGCGUGCUUCAUACAUGCAAGUCGAACGAGAAUCUGGAGCUUGCUUCAGAGGAAAGUGGCGGACGGGUGAGUAAUAUGUAGAGAAUCUGCCCUUGAGCGGGGGACAACAGAGGGAAACUUCUGCUAAUACCCCAUAUGAGCUUAGUUGAAAUACUAAUCUUGAAAACUCCGGUGCUCAAGGAUGAGUCUGCAUCUGAUUAGCUUGUUGGCGGUGUAAUGGACCACCAAGGCGACGAUCAGUAGCUGGUUUGAGAGGAUGAUCAGCCACAAUGGGACUGAGACACGGCCCAUACUCCUACGGGAGGCAGCAGUAGGGAAUUUUGCGCAAUGGGCGAAAGCCCUGACGCAGCAACGCCGCGUGAACGAUUAAGCCCUUCGGGGUGUAAAGUUCUGUCAGUAGGGACGAAUUUUGACGGUACCUACAGAGGAAGCACCGGCUAACUCCGUGCCAGCCGCCGC
RNAcentral lists this ribosomal RNA (491 nucleotides) under uncultured bacterium. RNAcentral's name for it is "bacterial SSU rRNA". It matches the Rfam family "Bacterial small subunit ribosomal RNA", at positions 8 to 518 of the family's 1533-position model. The record is from RNAcentral.